This 1041-nucleotide long non-coding RNA is filed under the name Salmo trutta (river trout). RNAcentral's name for it is "lncRNA (ENSSTUG00000018307.1)". Lineage: Eukaryota; Metazoa; Chordata; Actinopteri; Salmoniformes; Salmonidae. The record is from RNAcentral.
CCACUGCCCCCUCCUCCUCUCCUUUCCUCCGCUGCCCCCCCUCCCCCCCGCCCACACAAAGGAGUGAUUGUCCCCCCUCUCCCUCACGCUCUUUCUCUCUCCCUCCUUCUCUGUUGUGGCUGGAAAGAUGAAUUAGUGACUGUGAGGGUAAAGAAACUCCCCACCCUUACAUCUAGUCUAACUAGUCAUUACCAACACUACCUUAUAACCACUGUCCCUCUCUCUGCCUCCUCUCCUCCCUCUCCAGACACUGUUCCUUCUGUUUAUGUGCGUGUGUAUCCGUUCUCUGUGAGUGUGUUUAUAGCCUACUGUGUGUAUCCGUUCUCUGUGAGUGUGUUUAUAGCCUACUGUGUGUAUCCGUUCUCUGUGAGUGUGUUUAUAGCCUACUGUGUGUAUCUGUUCUCUGUGAGUGUGUUUAUAGCCUACUGUGUGUAUCCGUUCUCUGUGAGUGUGUUUAUAGUCUACUGUGUGUAUCUGUUCUCUGUGAGUGUGUAUAUAGCCUACUGUGUGUAUCCGUUCUCUGUGAGUGUGUAUAUAGCCUACUGUGUGUAUCCGUUCUCUGUGAGUGUGUUUAUAGCCUACUGUGUGUAUCCGUUCUCUGUGAGUGUGUAUAUAGCCUACUGUGUGUAUCUGUUCUCUGUGAGUGUGUAUAUAGCCUACUGUGUGUAUCCGUUCUCUGUGAGUGUGUAUAUAGCCUACUGUGUGUAUCUGUUCUCUGUGAGUGUGUUUAUAACCUACUGUGUGUAUCUGUUCUCUGUGAGUGUGUAUAUAGCCUACUGUGUGUAUCUGUUCUCUGUGAGUGUGUAUAUAGCCUACUGUGUGUAUCCGUUCUCUGUGAGUGUGUAUAUAGCCUACUGUGUGUAUCCGUUCUCUGUGAGUGUGUUUAUAGCCUACUGUGUGUAUCCGUUCUCUGUGAGUGUGUAUAUAGGCUACUGUGAGUAUCCGUUCUCUGUGAGUGUGUUUAUAGCCUACUGUGUGUAUCCGUUCUCUGUGAGUGUUUAUAGCCUACUGUGUGUAUCCGUUCUCUGUGAGUGUUUAUAG